RNAcentral lists this long non-coding RNA (459 nucleotides) under Homo sapiens (human). Its description in RNAcentral is "HSALNT0376552". The record is from RNAcentral. Lineage: Eukaryota; Metazoa; Chordata; Mammalia; Primates; Hominidae.
GUACAGCCCAGGUUCAGGGGGAGGGGAAAUAAACUCUAACUCUUGUUGGGAAGUGACAAAGUUUAGAAGAGCAUGUGGGACCACAAAUAUUGCUGAGGUCAGUUUUGGAAAAUGCAAAAUACCACAGUCCACCCUCUAGCCACAGCAGCAAAAUACACUCAUGCACUCCCUCAAGACCUACAACAUCAGGCUGAGGCUUGAGGUCCAGCAUCGACUGGGGAAGCUUGAAGGCUGGAGACUAGAAUCAUCUGAAGGUUCAUUCAUAUACCUGGUGGUUGAGUCUGGCUAUUAGUUGAAACCUUAGCUGGGGCUAUAAGCUGGAACAUCUUCACUGGCCCCUCCAUGUGGCCUGAGAUUCCUCACAAUUUCCAACAAGUCAUGAAGUCACAGAGUGUUAAUUCUUCAGCACUCAAUUCAUUGAAGCUGUUCAAUUCAAGAGAAUAGAAAUGGAUUUUACCU